This 274-nucleotide ribosomal RNA is filed under the name uncultured bacterium. RNAcentral's name for it is "partial 16S ribosomal RNA". It matches the Rfam family "Bacterial small subunit ribosomal RNA", at positions 523 to 796 of the family's 1533-position model. The record is from RNAcentral.
AUACGAAGGGUGCUAGCGUUGUUCGGAAUUACUGGGCGUAAAGAGCAUGUAGGCGGAUUGAUUAGUCAGAGGUGAAAGCCCCGAGCUCAACUUGGGAAUUGCCUUUGAUACUGUCAAUCUAGAGACCGAGAGAGGUGAGUGGAAUUCCCAGUGUAGAGGUGAAAUUCGUAGAUAUUGGGAAGAACACCAGUGGCGAAGGCGGCUCACUGGCUCGGUACUGACGCUGAGAUGCGAAAGCGUGGGGAGCAAACAGGAUUAGAAACCCCAGUAGUCC